AGAGUUUGAUCAUGGCUCAGAUUGAACGCUGGCGGCGUGCUUAACACAUGCAAGUCGAACGCGAAAGUGGCUUCGGCCGCGAGUAGAGUGGCGCACGGGUGAGUAACGCGUGGAUAAUCUGCCUCUGCAAUCGGAAUAACGACUGGAAACGGUCGCUAAUACCGGAUACGCUUAAGUUUUACCUCUUAAGGAAAGAUGACCUCUAUUUAUAAGUUAUCGUGCAGAGAUGAGUCCGCGUCCCAUUAGCUUGUUGGCGGGGUAACGGCCCACCAAGGCGACGAUGGGUAGCCGAUUUAAGAGGAUGAUCGGCCACAUUGGAACUGAAACACGGUCCAAACUCCUACGGGAGGCAGCAGUGGGGAAUAUUGCGCAAUGGGCGAAAGCCUGACGCAGCGACGCCGCGUGAGGGAUGAAGGUCUUCGGAUCGUAAACCUCUGUCAGAAGGGAAAAAUGUACAGUGCCCCAAUCACACUUGUAUUGAUGGUACCUUCAGAGGAAGCACCGCUACUUCCGUGCCAGCAGCCGCGGUAAUACGGAGGGUGCAAAGCCGUUAAUCGGAAUUCUGGGCGUAAAGCGCGCGUANGUUGUUUGUAAGUCAAAAGGUGNAAUCCCACGGNUUAACCCGNGGAACUGCCUUUGAUACUUGCUNACUUGGAUCCGGNAGAGGCAGCGGNAUUCCAGGNGUNNGAGGAAAUCC
RNAcentral lists this ribosomal RNA (697 nucleotides) under uncultured bacterium. RNAcentral's name for it is "bacterial SSU rRNA". It matches the Rfam family "Bacterial small subunit ribosomal RNA", at positions 8 to 689 of the family's 1533-position model. The record is from RNAcentral.